AUUUCAGGUUCAUCUGACGAAAGAUUUUGACCACUUUUUAAACACUUGAGUGUCUAUUUCAUUUGAAUCAAUUAGUUUAUGUGAAAGAUUUUAACUGAUUUAGUCAUUAAAAACGAUCCGAUUCAAGCUUAAAUAUGAAAAAUCUACCAAAUAUGCCGAAAAGUGGCCGCAUCCGUGUUCAUCCUCAACCUUUAUAUAUGUUAUGUAUUAUCAUAAAAUACAACUUACAUUUCAAUAUUAAGGAUGAACACGAAUGCGGCCACUUUCGUUUUACACGAAAACCGUCUAAAAUUUAACUAAAAUGCUAGAAUUGUGAAGAUUUCAGUAAUUUAGCAUGACUUAAUGGUGCUAGUACUCGAUAUAUGUGCAUUGUAUUGUCAAAAACAGCCCAUUUUUAUGUAGCAGAAGCAUUCUACUGUCCAAUAAAUAACUAAACGUUUACAUUUUAACAAUUUUGUAAAACUGCUAUAUUUUGGGGCCAAAAAGGGGUCUUACCGGACCUACUCCUUU
RNAcentral lists this long non-coding RNA (510 nucleotides) under Mytilus galloprovincialis (Mediterranean mussel). The record is from RNAcentral. Lineage: Eukaryota; Metazoa; Mollusca; Bivalvia; Mytilida; Mytilidae.